RNAcentral lists this ribosomal RNA (108 nucleotides) under Bacillus atrophaeus. Its description in RNAcentral is "partial 16S ribosomal RNA". It matches the Rfam family "Bacterial small subunit ribosomal RNA", at positions 1 to 105 of the family's 1533-position model. Lineage: Bacteria; Bacillati; Bacillota; Bacilli; Caryophanales; Bacillaceae. The record is from RNAcentral.
UUAUCGGAGAGUUUGAUCCUGGCUCAGGACGAACGCUGGCGGCGUGCCUAAUACAUGCAAGUCGAGCGGACAGAUGGGAGCUUGCUCCCUGAUGUUAGCGGCGCACGG